CCCUUAGAUGUUCUGGGCCGCACACGCGCUACACUGAAGGAGGCAGCGUGUACUCCUGGAUCGAAAGAUUUGGGUACCCGCGAAUCUCCUUCGUGCUAGGGAUUGAGGUUUGCAAUUAUCCUUCAUGAACGAGGAAUUCCCAGUAAGUGCAAGUCAUAAGCUUGCGCUGACUACGUCCCUGCCCUUUGUACACACCGCCCGUCGCUACUACCGAUUGAAUGAUUUAGUGAGGACUUCGGACUGGGACCGAUGCGGCUUUCGGGCUGCGUCGGUAUUCUGGAAAGAUGUCCAAACUGUAUCAUUUAGAGGAAGUAAAAGUCGUANCA
This 326-nucleotide ribosomal RNA is filed under the name uncultured eukaryote. Its description in RNAcentral is "partial 18S ribosomal RNA". It matches the Rfam family "Eukaryotic small subunit ribosomal RNA", at positions 1470 to 1796 of the family's 1831-position model. The record is from RNAcentral.